Molecule: ribosomal RNA, 492 nt
Filed under: uncultured bacterium
Lineage: Bacteria
Description: partial 16S ribosomal RNA
Rfam family: Bacterial small subunit ribosomal RNA
Source: RNAcentral
AUUGAACGCUGGCGGCAUGCUUUACACAUGCAAGUCGAGCGGUAACAGGCCUUCGGGUGCUGACGAGUGGCGCACGGGUGAGUAAUGCAUCGGAACGUACCCAGAGGUGGGGGAUAACGCAGCGAAAGCUGUGCUAAUACCGCAUGUGAUCUGAGGAUGAAAGCGGGGGACCGAGCAGCAAUGUUUGGCCUCGCGCCUUUGGAGCGGCCGAUGUCGGAUUAGCUAGUUGGUGGGGUAAAGGCCUACCAAGGCGACGAUCCGUAGCUGGUCUGAGAGGACAACCAGCCACACUGGGACUGAGACACGGCCCAGACUCCUACGGGAGGCAGCAGUGGGGAAUUUUGGACAAUGGGCGCAAGCCUGAUCCAGCAAUGCCGCGUGCGGGAAGAAGGCCUUCGGGUUGUAAACCGCUUUUGGCAGGAACGAAACGGUGUCCGCUAAUACCGGGCGCUAAUGACGGUACCUGCAGAAUAAGCACCGGCUAACUACGUG